AUUCCAGCUCCAAUAGCGUAUAUUAAAGUUGUUGCAGUUAAAAAGCUCGUAGUUGGAGUUCAGAGUGAGCUCAGCUGGUCGGCCUAAUGGGUCAGAACUGGUUGACUCUCUCUUGUUUGUGGGUCUCGCCCGGAGUUAACUCUUCGGAUGUGGAUCCCACAUCGUUUACCUUGAAAAAAUUAGAGUGUUCAAAGCAGGCGUUUGCUUGAAUAUAUUAGCAUGGAAUAAUGGAAUAGGACGCUGGUUCUAUUUUGUUGGUUUUGAGAACCAGAGUAAUGAUUAAUAGGGACAGUUGGGGGCAUUCAUAUUUCAUUGUCAGAGGUGAAAUUCUUGGAUUUAUGAAAGAUGAACUUCUGCGAAAGCAUUUGCCAAGGAUGUUUUCAUCA
RNAcentral lists this ribosomal RNA (386 nucleotides) under Telonemia sp. Its description in RNAcentral is "partial small subunit ribosomal RNA". It matches the Rfam family "Eukaryotic small subunit ribosomal RNA", at positions 582 to 975 of the family's 1831-position model. The record is from RNAcentral. Lineage: Eukaryota; Telonemia.